RNAcentral lists this ribosomal RNA (392 nucleotides) under uncultured bacterium. Its description in RNAcentral is "partial 16S ribosomal RNA". It matches the Rfam family "Bacterial small subunit ribosomal RNA", at positions 523 to 917 of the family's 1533-position model. The record is from RNAcentral.
AUACGUAGGGGGCGAGCGUUGUCCGGAAUGACUGGGCGUAAAGGGCGUGUAGGCGGUUGUCUAAGUCUGGAGUGAAAGUCCUGCUUUCAAGGUGGGAAUAGCUUUGGAUACUGGAUGACUUGAGUGCGGAAGAGGUAAGUGGAAUUCCCAGUGUAGCGGUGAAAUGCAUAGAGAUCACACAGAACACCGAUUGCGAAGGCAUCUCACGAAGGGGUGAUUGACGCUGAGGCACGAAAGCGUGGGGAUCAAACAGGAUUAGAUACCCUGGUAGUCGACGCAGUAAACGAUGAUGGCUAACCGCUGGGCUUAUCAGUUCAGUGGCCAAGCGAAAGCGAUAAGCCAUCCACCUGGGGAGUACGACCGCAAGGUUGAAAAUCAAAGGAAUUGGCGGG